This 71-nucleotide transfer RNA is filed under the name Setipinna melanochir (dusky-hairfin anchovy). Its description in RNAcentral is "tRNA-Gln". It matches the Rfam family "tRNA". Rfam says of the family: Transfer RNA (tRNA) molecules are approximately 80 nucleotides in length. Their secondary structure includes four short double-helical elements and three loops (D, anti-codon, and T loops). The record is from RNAcentral. Lineage: Eukaryota; Metazoa; Chordata; Actinopteri; Clupeiformes; Engraulidae.
UAGAAAGUGGUGUAGAGGGAGCACUUGGAGUUUUGAUCUCCAGGGGAAGGGUUCAAUUCCCUUAUUUCUAA